GAUGAACGCUGGCUGUGUGCCUAAUACAUGCAUGUCGAGCGGAGUUCUUCGGAACUUAGCGGCGAAUGGGUGAGUAACACGUACUUAACGUGCCCCCUUGAUUGGGAUAACGCUGAGAAAUUAGCGCUAAUACCGGAUACUUAAAUAUCUCGCAUGAGGUAUUUAUAAAAGGAGCCUUUAAAGCUUCACAAGGGGAUCGGGGUGCGUAACAUUAGCUAGUUGGUGAGGUAAUGGCUCACCAAGGCGAUGAUGUUUAGCGGGGUUGAGAGACUGAUCCGCCACACUGGGACUGAGAUACGGCCCAGACUCCUACGGGAGGCAGCAGUAGGGAAUUUCCACAAUGGGCGAAAGCCUGAUGGAGCGACACAGCGUGCAGGAUGAAGGCCUUCGGGUUGUAAACUGCUGUUAUAAGGGAAGAAAAAGUCGAGGAGGAAAUGCCUUGACCUUGACGGUACCUUAUCAGAAAGCAACGGCUAACUAUGUGCCAGCAGCCGCGGUAAUACAUAGGUUGCAAGCGUUAUCCGGAAUUAUUGGGCGUAAAGCGUCUGUAGGUUGUUUGUUAAGUCUGGUGUGAAAACUUGGGGCUCAACCCCAAAUUGCAUUGGAUACUGGCAAACUAGAGUUAUGUAGAGGUAAGCGGAAUUCCUUGUGAAGCGGUGAAAUGCGUAGAUAUAAGGAAGAACACCAACUUGGCGAAGGCAGCUUACUGGACAUACACUGACACUGAGAGACGAAAGCGUGGGGAGCAAACAGGAUUAGAUACCCUGGUAGUCCACGCCGUAAACGAUGAUGAUUAGCUGAUGGGGAACUCAUCGGGCGCAGCUAACGCAUUAAAUCAUCCGCCUGAGUAGUAUGCUCGCAAGAGUGAAACUUAAAGGAAUUGACGGGGAUCCGCACAAGCGGUGGAGCAUGUGGUUUAAUUUGAAGAUACGCGUAGAACCUUACCCACUCUUGACAUCUUCUGCAAAGCUAUAGAGAUAUAGUCGAGGUUAACAGAAUGACAGAUGGUGCAUGGUUGUCGUCAGCUCGUGUCGUGAGAUGUUCGGUUAAGUCCUGCAACGAGCGCAACCCUUGUCCUUAGUUAAAUGUUCUAGGGAGACUGCCCGGGUAACCGGGAGGAAGGUGGGGACGACGUCAAAUCAUCAUGCCUCUUACGAGUGGGGCAACACACGUGCUACAAUGGAUGGUACAAAGAGACGCAAUACGGCGACGUGGAGCAAAUCUCAAAAAACCAUUCUCAGUUCGGAUUGUAGUCUGCAACUCGACUACAUGAAGUCGGAAUCGCUAGUAAUCGUAGAUCAGCUACGCUACGGUGAAUACGUUCUCGGGUCUUGUACACACCGACCCGUCACACCAUGGGAGCUGGUAAUGCCCGAAGUCGGUUUUGUUAACCACGGAGACAACUGCCUAAGGCAGGACUGGUGGACUGGGGUG
RNAcentral lists this ribosomal RNA (1434 nucleotides) under Mycoplasmopsis gallinacea. RNAcentral describes it as "bacterial SSU rRNA". It matches the Rfam family "Bacterial small subunit ribosomal RNA". Lineage: Bacteria; Bacillati; Mycoplasmatota; Mycoplasmoidales; Metamycoplasmataceae. The record is from RNAcentral.